CCUACGGGAGGCAGCAGUGGGGAAUAUUGCACAAUGGGGGAAACUCUGAUGCAGCGACGCCGCGUGAGCGAAGAAGUAUUUCGGUAUGUAAAGCUCUAUCAGCAGGGAAGAAAAUGACGGUACCUGCCUAAGAAUCUCCGGCUACAUACGUACCAACAGCCGCGGCAAUACGAAUGGAGCAAGCGUUAUCCGGAUUUACUGGGUGGAAGGGGAGCGUAGGCGGUAAGGCAAGUCUGAUGUGAAAGGCCAGGGCUCAACCCUGGGACUGCAUUGGAAACUGUUUAACUGGAGUGUAGGAGAGGCAAGUGGAAUUCCUAGUGUAGCGGUGAAAUGCGUAGAUAUUAGGAGGAACACCAGUGGCGAAGGCGGCUUGCUGGACGGUGACUGACGCUGAGGCUCGAAAGCGUGGGGAGCAAACAGGAUUAGAUACCCCGGUAGUC
This 440-nucleotide ribosomal RNA is filed under the name uncultured bacterium. RNAcentral's name for it is "partial 16S ribosomal RNA". It matches the Rfam family "Bacterial small subunit ribosomal RNA", at positions 338 to 795 of the family's 1533-position model. The record is from RNAcentral.